RNAcentral lists this unclassified non-coding RNA (174 nucleotides) under uncultured Acremonium. Its description in RNAcentral is "sequence contains ITS2". The record is from RNAcentral. Lineage: Eukaryota; Fungi; Ascomycota.
CAACCCUCGUCCCCCGUCUAGGCGGGAGGGCGGUGUUGGGGAUGGGCCUGCCCCCGGGCCGGCCCGCCCCUAAAUGUAGUGGCGACCACGCCGUAGCCUCCUCUGCGUAGUAGUAACUCACCUCGCGGGCGGAGAGCGGUGCGGCCUGCCGUAAAACCCCCUACUUUCUCAAGG